AGAAGCGCGUAGCAGGCUACCAUGACGCCCAGCGGCAGCGCGAAGCCCAGGGCCACCUGCGCCACGGCGCUCGCCCCCUUCACCGUCUGCGUGAGGCCCUCGGGGAAGAUGAGGCGACAGCGUCGUUGGCCUUCCCGCUGCCCAUCCUGGCUGAAGAGCAGCGCAGGCAGCGCCAGGAGCAGUGACAGCAGCCACACGAUGACGGAGACCAAGUGUGCGCGGCCGGGAGUGGAGGGCCGCGGCCCGGCUGGGAGCGCUCGCGCGAUGGCCACGUAGCGGUCGGCGCUGAUACAGGCCAGGAAGAGGAAGCCGGCGUGGAAGGAGGCCGAGUAGAGGCCAGAGAUGGUGCGGCAGGUGGCACUUCCCAGACUCCAGCCCUGAAGAGCCCCUGCUGCCGCGAAGGGCAGAGUCAGGGCCAGCAAGAGGUCGGCCAGGGCCAGCUGGAGCAGCGCCCUCUCCUGGAAGGAUGCCCAUAUGCAGGCUUUGCCUCAGACCUGAGCCCUGGACUCCAACCUCCGUCUGGAGAUCUGGAUUUUACGAAAAAAAAAAAAA
This 552-nucleotide long non-coding RNA is filed under the name Homo sapiens (human). Its description in RNAcentral is "HSALNT0389833". The record is from RNAcentral. Lineage: Eukaryota; Metazoa; Chordata; Mammalia; Primates; Hominidae.